RNAcentral lists this long non-coding RNA (609 nucleotides) under Gossypium barbadense (sea-island cotton). RNAcentral's name for it is "long non-coding RNA (GBAR_LNC002790)". Lineage: Eukaryota; Viridiplantae; Streptophyta; Magnoliopsida; Malvales; Malvaceae. The record is from RNAcentral.
AAAGACAGGAGAACAGAUACCGAAAGAAAAUAUCUGUUAAAUUAAAAAAAUGGAGAUGAAUGAGACGAAAUGAGACAAUGUUUUCAAAAAUUCCAAUACCAAAAGCGGUUUCAACUUCUAUUUAUUAUAGAUUUUGCACUGCAAAAGUGAUAAAAAGGAAUCCAUGAAUGUAUACACAGGGCAAGAAAGAUACUAACUAAAAAAAGUUAUUUAUAGACAGGAGGAGUACUAAAUAUCCCAGGAAGCAGUUUUUUAUCCACGAGACCAGUAGGCUAUCUGGACUGUCACAUUAGAAAGACAGGUGAAAAAGUUCAAAGCAUUAUCUUAAGUGAGAUAAAAGGGAAAGGAAAGAAGAGACUACUAAAACUAGAGACUUUACAAAAUGAAAUGGCAAAGACAAAGACAAAGUACAAGUUAUGAGUCAUACCUGAAAUCAGUCACCGAUGAAGCAGAGAAAUUCAAAAAAUCACAAAAACCAGAAACGGCAGAGAAAACCUAGUGUAGAAGAGAUAGAUUUAAGGAUUCAAAUUUCGAAUAAUGGGAAGGAAACUGACCUUUGAUCGGAGGUAAGAUGCGGAAAGGUGUUGAUGGCGCGGCAGCGUCGGGGGU